This 116-nucleotide small RNA is filed under the name Klebsiella pneumoniae. RNAcentral describes it as "partial RtT sRNA". It matches the Rfam family "RtT RNA", at positions 17 to 130 of the family's 130-position model. Rfam says of the family: This family represents a bacterial cis-regulatory element known as RtT RNA. The exact function of RtT is unknown although it is thought that it may be involved in changing the cellular response in relation to amino acid starvation. Lineage: Bacteria; Pseudomonadati; Pseudomonadota; Gammaproteobacteria; Enterobacterales; Enterobacteriaceae. RNAcentral also lists the same sequence under 1 other name. The record is from RNAcentral.
GAAGGAUGAGAAGCUUCGACUAAGGUUCGACUCGAGCGAAGCGAGAGAACGUUGCCGCAGGCAACGGCCCGAAGGGCGAGGCGCUUUAGCGCCGAGUAAUCCUUCCCCCACCACUG